GACGAACGCUGGCGGCGCGCCUAACACAUGCAAGUCGAACGAGCGAGAGAGAGCUUGCUUUCUCAAGCGAGUGGCGAACGGGUGAGUAACGCGUGAGGAACCUGCCUCAAAGAGGGGGACAACAGUUGGAAACGACUGCUAAUACCGCAUAAGCCCACAGGUCGGCAUCGACCAGAGGGAAAAGGAGCAAUCCGCUUUGAGAUGGCCUCGCGUCCGAUUAGCUAGUUGGUGAGGUAACGGCCCACCAAGGCGACGAUCGGUAGCCGGACUGAGAGGUUGAACGGCCACAUUGGGACUGAGACCCGGCCCAGACUCCUACGGGAGGCAGCAGUGGGGAAUAUUGCACAAUGGGGGAAACCCUGAUGCAGCGACGCCGCGUGGAGGAAGAAGGUCUUCGGAUUGUAAACUCCUGUUGUUGAGGAAGAUAAUGACGGUACUCAACANGGAAGUGNCGGCUNNCUNCGUGCCCGCAGCCGCGGUNNNNCGUNGGUCNCCNGCGUUGUCCGGNNUUNCUGGGUGUNNNGGGNGCGCCGGCGGGNNGNCCNGUUGGNNGUGNNNUCUNUGGGCUCNNCCCCUNNNCUGCUUUCNNNNCUGUUUUUCUUGAGUAGGGCCGAGGGUAGGGGGAAUUCCCCGGUGUNGCGGGUGGAAUGCGUAGAUAUCGGGAGGAACACCAGUGGCGAAGGCGGCCUACUGGGCCCCCNCUGACGCUGGGGCUGGAAAGUGUGGGUAGCAAACAGGAUUAGAUACCCUGGUAGUCCACACCGUAAACGAUGAUUACUAGGUGUUGGAGGAUUGACCCCUUCAGUGCCGCAGUUAACACAAUAAGUAAUCCACCUGGGGAGUACGACCGCAAGGUUGAAACUCAAAGGAAUUGACGGGGGCCCGCACAAGCAGUGGAGUAUGUGGUUUAAUUCGACGCAACGCGAAGAACCUUACCAAGUCUUGACAUCCUGCGACGAUGCUGGAAACAGUAUUUUCCUUCGGGACGCAGAGACAGGUGGUGCAUGGUUGUCGUCAGCUCGUGUCGUGAGAUGUUGGGUUAAGUCCCGCAACGAGCGCAACCCUUACUGUCAGUUACUACGCAAGAGGACUCUGGCAGGACUGCCGUUGACAAAACGGAGGAAGGUGGGGAUGACGUCAAAUCAUCAUGCCCUUUAUGACUUGGGCUACACACGUACUACAAUGGCGUUAAACAAAGAGAAGCAAGACCGCGAGGUGGAGCAAAACUCAGAAACAACGUCCCAGUUCGGACUGCAGGCUGCAACUCGCCUGCACGAAGUCGGAAUUGCUAGUAAUCGUGGAUCAGCAUGCCACGGUGAAUACGUUCCCGGGCCUUGCACU
This 1341-nucleotide ribosomal RNA is filed under the name uncultured bacterium. RNAcentral's name for it is "partial 16S ribosomal RNA". It matches the Rfam family "Bacterial small subunit ribosomal RNA", at positions 28 to 1387 of the family's 1533-position model. The record is from RNAcentral.